GAUGAACGCUGGCGGCGUGCCUAACACAUGCAAGUCGAACGGAGUCCAGCCUUUAAGACCUUCGGGUCAAAGAGGGGAAGACUGAGUGGCGGACGGGUGAGUAACACGUGGGCAACCUGGCUCAUAGAGGGGGAUAACAGAGAGAAAUUUCUGCUAAUACCGCAUAAGCACACACUGCCGCAUGGCAGAGGGUGAAAAGAGAAUCGCUAUGAGAUGGACCCGCGUCUGAUUAGCCAGUUGGCAGGGUAAGAGCCUACCAAAGCGACGAUCAGUAGCCGAUCUGAGAGGAUGAACGGCCACAUUGGGACUGAGACACGGCCCAAACUCCUACGGGAGGCAGCAGUGGGGGAUAUUGCACAAUGGGGGGAACCCUGAUGCAGCGACGCCGCGUGAGUGAAGAAGUAUUUCGGUAUGUAAAGCUCUAUCAGCAGGGAAGAUAAUGACAGUACCUGAAUAAGAAGCCCCGGCUAACUACAUG
Molecule: ribosomal RNA, 478 nt
Filed under: uncultured bacterium
Lineage: Bacteria
Description: partial 16S ribosomal RNA
Rfam family: Bacterial small subunit ribosomal RNA
Source: RNAcentral